Molecule: long non-coding RNA, 695 nt
Filed under: Ananas comosus (pineapple)
Lineage: Eukaryota; Viridiplantae; Streptophyta; Magnoliopsida; Poales; Bromeliaceae
Description: long non-coding RNA (ACOM_LNC027325)
Source: RNAcentral
UUCCUCGUCACUCGUACUCUUUUCCAAUUUUUUUUCCCCCAUUUUUAAAUUUUUUUUCUAACAUUUUUAUAUAUUAUUUUGAUUCACUUGUUUGAUACGUUUAAUAUGGCUAGGGCUAUUAUACUCUUAUGAGUAUAGAGCCAUUAGUACUCAUAAAUUAUUUUUAAUGAUAGAGAUUUCGAAUCGACGAUUCAAUCCGUUAAAUAUGAUCUAGAGUAUUUGAAGCUUUUAGAAAAUAAAUUUCGUAAUUUUUCGAAAUCAUAAUAAAGUUCAUCAAGCGAGUAUAAAAUGAACAGUCAAAAUCGAACGACGUCUUAAAAAUAGAUGUUCGGAUCCUUUAAUUUAAGAUUGGAGUUAUUGAUCUUUAUCUAUAUAGUGAAUAGAAUUUUUUUAUCAAAAUUCAACUGAUUUUGAUUUUUUUACACCGUUAAACUAGCAAAUAUUUCAUAUCGGCCGUUAAAAAUCGUCAAUUUUGUGACAUUUUGAUCGUAAGAUAAAUGAUGUUAAAAAAUUAUAAAAUUUGAUUUCUAGACGUUUUAAAUGCCCUACAUAAUGUUUAAUGAUAUGGAUCGUCGAUUCGAAAACUCUAUCAUCGAAAACAACUUAUGAAUACGAGGGCAAUCGUACUCAUAAGAAUAUAGUAGCUGCACUUGUUUAAUAGAAUAUACUAUUAUUGGAUGGAGUGAUAUUUUGAG